GCUGCUGAUCCUCUAUGGUUGGACUUACUUCUGGCGACUCUUCGUCUGUCUCCCUAUUUUCAGGUUCAUCUCUUUCUCUUACUUGAGUCGGAGGUAUUUCUACUUUAUCCUCUCGGGAUUUCUCUAUUGCCUCGCUUACUCGCGAUUUAUUUCGAUACAUCAAUUGGUUCUUCUUAUUCUGAUUACACUUCUUCCUGUCUACCAUAUUUCUAUUCAUUUCCGAGCCUGUGCUGGCUCGUUUUAACCUGUUUACGUGCAAUGUAAUGGAUUUGUCUUCCUCUAUUUUUAACUUGUAAAUCGGUGGUUAUAUUUUCUCUAAUAUCCUAUAAGGACCCUGAUACUUAUAUUCAAAUUUCUUAGCUUUCCCCCUUUGUUAUAGGGUUAUGUAGAUACACAAAAUGUCCCUUCUUUAAUAAAUUUUCACGAGUUUUCCUAUCGUAGUACUUCUUAGCAAGUUCAUGACUCAAUUUGGACUGUUUCCCAGCCUCCUGAUUCGCUUCGUGUAUCCUUAGGGCUAAUUCCUUAACAUGUCUAUCGUAAUCGUCUUUAUUUCCGGCUUCUUCCCGCAGUGUCGGCUUCCAAUCGUCCUCUAUUGGAAGUCUCAAAUCCCUACCAUAUACCAGGUAGUAAGGGGAAUAUUUCACUGUACAAUGUGGAGUGGCUCUAUACGCCAUUACUGCGUAGGGGACAUACUUUGUAACCCUACAAUGCAAAGGACUACAAUGUUUUGUUCACGUGUGUCCGUACUUGUCACUACAUCAAAGCAGAGGUAAUACCUCACACCCCACUCCAACCAGAGGGACCUGAACCCUUUCGCAGUUCCGAGAUGGUAAAGUUUAUGACGGGUCAUAAUCCCCGGACUAAACCCAAACCAGCCCGACACUCUCCCUACUUUUAGAAAGAGCCAUACGUUCUAAUAAAAGAGAAAUCUGUCCAAAAGACGUUGGAAAGAACUAUUGUCACGUAGAGAGGUGGCCCUCUAACGGUCAUAACUCUCCAAAUGUUAAAACCUGCUUUUAGAAAGGAGCGGCGAAUUGUUUCAUUAGUAGAGGAACGGGACCAAUUUUCAACACCCGAUUCGUCACGGACCUACCCUUAGGAGACCGUGAGAUUGAACCCUCUCAAUCCACCCCGGAUCAGAAAGACUGUGACAGCGUGUGAACCCCAACUUUCGCCGCGAAACAGCUGACCAUUGGAGGAACGAGAAACUCUAUCGAACCCCUUCCCCCUCUAAAUCCAGUCAACCAGGAGAUUUGGAGGAUGGCAACGAGGCGUUCCUCAAAUUUUGGCAGUACCUCUGAAUCUGCAAAAACAGAUGGUGAGUUCUUUUUCAAAAGUUUCGUAAGAACAGUUAAACUCGCCGGACGCGGAACUAGCCCUCUCCAUCGUUUGUUAAGUGAAAGUAGUGUUUGAACAACGGGUGGAGAUCAUAGUAAAGUAACGACCUGAGUUCUAUCUCAGUGGCGCUCAGAUUAAAAAUCAAUAAAGUUAAGUGGUGCCAAGUGUUUGUGUCCAGUAUGUUCUUCUCCUCGUCGGAGUAAGGCCCUAAACGACCUGAGCCAGAGUCUCACGCCACCCACGACUAGCCCAAUCACCAUCAGCUCCCACCCCGUCCACAUUUUCUCUUCACUUCGCAGCUGUACCCACAGUUGCUGGCGCCCAUUGACAAAUCACGCCAAGUCCCGGACCUGAUACCCCUUUCCAUAGUGAAGAGAAGUGGUGGAGUUGGAGAAGCGGUGGAGCCAGGUAAAGCAGACCUAGCUGCAAGCUCCACUACCAACGACGGCAGCAGCGAGAACGACAAGAGAAAGGAAGGAAGAUAAAGAGUAGCGACCAACCGGUGUGGCUUGAGGCUUCACUGGGUGGGACGGUAAGAACUUGUCCCAAUUCUUCGCGUCCUUAUUUACAAAGUGUGAAAAUCAUAUCAAUUAGUAACUUGUGCAUCCGCUCGCAAAUUCCGUUUGCCUGAGCAUUGUAACUACUGGUCUGUAACUUCUGUAUUUUCAACAGCUUGCAGGUUUCCUCCUCUAUCUGUUAAUAGUUUCUUAGGGACCCCAUAUUGCGUAAUAAUCUUCAUUACAAAUUCUCUGGCUAUUACUUCCGCUUCUUGUGUGGGUAUGGGGAUUGCAUCACAAAAUCUCGUAAAAUGAUCUACAAAUGUAAGUACUUAUUUCCACUAUUUGUAACCGGAAGUGGUCCUACCACGUCCAAUGAUACUACAUCCAAGAAUUCCUUUGCGACUAAGGAUUCUCCCAGGGGUGCGACUAUUUUAUUUCCCGUUUUCCUCUUUGCAUAUGCUUCACGAGCAUUUAUAUAUUCUGUAACAUCUUUACUUAAAGAUUCCCACCAAUAUUUUCGUCUAAUAGCGGCAAUGGUCCUUGCAACGCCUUGAUGUGCGGCAAAUGGCAAUUCAUGAUAACAUUUUAGUACGGUUGCAACUAUGUAGUUCCCUUGGAAUUACAAGUGGACAUCCUUCCUGUCCCUCAUAAUACAACACCUGGUCCUCAUCUAACCAGAAUUUCUCAGAUACCUUAUAUUCCUCCUAUAAUAAAUCAUUUUCCUGUGCUUCCUUUAUUUUCUCUUUUGUCAAUGAAUAGUCCUCCCAUUACUACUUGUACACACCGUGCCUCAUUUUCGAAUUUGAUCGGUGUUCCACUACAAAAUCAUAUUCAGAUAAUUUCACUGCCCAGCGGGUCAAACUGGAACUCGGAUCCUGUAAAUUCAAUAAUCAUUGCAAAGCUCUAUGGUCCGUAUAUACUUUAAACUGUCGCCCAUACAAAUAACAUCUGAAUUGUUUAACUGCAAAAAUCAACGCUAGCAACUCUUAACUCAGUUAUGCUGCACUUGGAUUCCGCGGAGUUCAGCUGUCGGCUACAGUAUGCUACUGGCCGCUCCUCUCCGUCUUUAACCUGUGACAAGAUGGCUGCAACCGCUUUGGUUGAUGCAUUGCAAGCCACAAUAAAGGGCUGCGAAAAAAUUGGGUAAAUCAACAAGGGUUCCCGACUCAAUUUAUCUUUUAACUCAUCAAAAGCUUCCUGUUGCUCAAGUCCCCAUUUAAAUGGACUAUCUUUCCUAGUUAAAUUCGUCAAGGGUUUAGCAAUUUCUGCAAAAUUGCGAACAUGACGCCUAUAGUACCCAGCUAGUCCUAUAAAAGCCCGAACCUCCUUAACUGUACGAGGGGUUGGAUAAUUUCUAACAGCCUGUAUCUUCCGGGGGUCUGGUUUGACGCCUUCCUUGGUCACUAUGUCCCAGAUACUCUACCGCAGUGUUUCCCAACCUGUGGUACGCGGACCCCUGGGGGUCCGCGGGAUAGUUUAUUUUCAUUAAACUUUACCUUAUCAUGUUCCUCACACCUGGGAUAUUUGCAAUGUAUAUCUCUGGCUCUUGAAGCCCAUGGUUGAAGUAAAAUUUAACGUUACUGUUGGUACCGUUACUUCUUCCCUUGUUGUAUAUGGAGGUUAUAAUUAGUAAAUUAAGACAAAACUAUGAAUAUGAAAGUCAAAACUUAUGGCAGAGAUUGUACACAAAGGAAAAUACGGUAGCUUGACCUGUAAACAGAGAUAUUUACACUGUUAUGAGGUGACCUCGUGACCUCACCCUAUCUACAUAUCUAUAUAUAUACCAACUGAUUGAUGUAUUAUUGAUUUCACUGGAAGAGAUAAGAAUUGAACGAAUAUGUAUACCUAUGUAUUAUCAAUUUAAUCAUUUUAUUACUCACAUAUGAAGAAAGGCUUAGCUACAGGAUAUAGGAUGUGGUCCCAGAAAACCCAGAGCGAGUAACACUAGGAAGCCAGACCAUAUAGACUUCCUACACGGGAGGGCUGACAAAGGAUGUCGCCAAGAGGAGUAACUUUACCGAGGGCGAAAGUCAGAACACUUGUCAUAAGGAAAUAAAUCACAUAGCCUGUAUCGAGUAUUCAGCACCAUGCAUCACUUGCUAGUUUAGAACGGAGAGGUCCAAUUGUAAAAGUUGUUACAAUAUGAUUCAGAGAAUGUAAGAAUAUAUAAAGUAGCACACAGGAAGUAGAAGCACUUCUUCUUCAGUAUAGACAGAGUUACAGUUUAAGCUAGCCGAAGGUCCAUCCUCCAGGGGGAAACCGCUAUCCUAAGGUGGCAGGCGUCAAGCUGCAGUGACUACAGAUCUCUACCAGAACUACACGCUACCAUGAUUGUUUUCUACAGCAUUGCUACGCUAUGUAAGUAGAGACCUGUUUGUCACAGCCUGGCUAGUAACCUCAGAUAGAGGGGAAGUGAUUGCAGGGAAGCAAUAACUUAAUUAACUUGUUUUGUUUUACUUAUUUCAGUUUAUUUCAAUUAUUACAUUUAUUUGUUUACUUUAGUCAAUAAAUUUAUGUUGAUAUAUAUAUAUGUAUUGUGGGUUGGGGAGGGGCAUCCUCCUGCAUCACACCCAUCCCGGUCCCAUAACAACAAAUAGCUUCCAAAUUUAUUUAGUUUAUUAGCCCUCGGGCAACCAUUUCAAACAGUACGUGACCAACUUGAACAUUUUACCACCCUCUGGGUAAAGUCCCCGAAACAGGGCCAUGAUACUGUAAGACCAUGUCCAUAUACAUAUCGAGUUGAGAUGUGUCGUCAGGAGGGGAAAGUUCAACAGGAGAUUCCUAGAGAACGACCCCUAAGGAACAUAUAUAAACCCAAGGAAAUUAGCUGACGACAGCUUUCUAACCAGUCACUAAGAGUUGGGGACUCUGUGCUGUUUAGAGACUCGGCCGCCGCCAUUGGCCUAAGGCACUUACCUGUUUCUCAAGUUUGUACAGUAGCAUUUGUAUAAUAAACAGUUUGUUUUAAGCUAAAUCUUCAGCAAGUCUUCCUUCAACCAGCGAAGUCAACGGAACUAUGGCUCCCGCUCGGCCCAAUCAAUCCGUGCUCCACAGCUAGGAUACGACAACUGGUGUCAGCUGCGAUGUGAACGCUGAGGUCUUCACGACAACUAGCGUGAAACGCGGGGUGUGCGCUAAGGUCUUCACGACAGGUGUACAUCGAAGUCUGCAACUCUCGCAGGAUCAACAUCCAAGACAUGGAACGAGUGGUGGAAGACCCCAAGGAGAAGCGACGAAACAAACGAGAUCAGGUCGGUCUCCAAGCGAGACAGUUCUCCCAGGAGGUAACAGCCAAGGAAAUUUGGUAAAGUAGAACAGAUUUUAUUUGUUGGUGAAAGCGACUGAGAAAGAUCGCGGUAAGCAACUGCUGGUAGCAGAUAGUCAACGACAGAAAUAAAUUUGUCAGACAACAGGUCACUGAUAGGUGACAAAAGAAAGAAACAGAUGCUAUUUGUUUGUGAAAGCUAUUGAGAAAGAUCGCGGUAAGCAACUACUGGUAGCAGAUAGUCGACGACAGAAGUAAAUUCGUCUGAUAACAGGUCACCGAUAGGUGACAAAAGAGAACUUUAAUUUGCAAGGGUAGUAAGUUAAUUAGACUUAAAAGUUUUCAGUGAAGGAGAAAACAGCAGAGAAGGCAACUACGGCGAGACAUCAACGCAGGUUGCAGAAACUCACCUACAUCAGCCAGCGGCCAGGGCAAUCCCGCAGGUGAGAGGAGCGCAGCAGCACUCAAGAAGGAAGAAAGAAGACAAAGGUGUGUUGGAAAAACCUGCUCAGUGCUGCAACUGCUUCGAGUGCUGGCAACAAUCAGCACAGUGCCCAGUAAGCGACCUCUGCGCCAAGUACGUCCACAACCAACUCCUCGACGGCGUCCUAUUCAACGUCAAAGAAGAGUGGGAAGAGGAAGAAGAAUUACAACAAAAUCUUCUAACAGAACUUCAAAAUCAGCAUCCACCUGGCCCUAUUCGGGUAAGCGUAAUUACAUUUCCUAAUGUCUCUAACAUGGACAAACCAAACAACAGCCAAGACAUCAUGGCCAUCUUUCACAACACCAACAGGCAAGACAAUCAGCCCUCCCCCCCGACGAUACCUGCUAUUUGCGACAAGCCAAACACAGAUAACACCGACAGCCCUUUCCUUCUUCAGCGACUAUGUCAACGACAAUCACCAACUGAUAACAGCACCAGAACCCCUAUCCACAUUGACAUCUCAUCUCCAACUCUUGGAAGUGAUAAACAACAACGAACAGGAAUUCUCGUACAUCCUCUCACUGACGAACACAUCGUCGAGAACCCUUCGCCAAAAAUUAUUCACGAGGGCGAUAGAUGUGCUAGAAAUCAAUCCCAGAACUACGAUGAUACAGGAAGAAAACGAUCGCCAACAGCCGAUAGCAUACGCGACAGAACACACAGACGACGUAGUGUCAGCCCUCCUCCUAUCAAAAGAACAAAAAGAUCAUCUCAAAAAGGACCAGCAAAUUCCAGCCUCAGCCCUCCAAGACCUACAUCUUCGUCUACUUUUCCAACACCACCGACAAGCUAUACUUCCACACUCUCUGGAUCAGACUAUCCCGACGGAGGCGAUUCCACAAAUCCAUCAUCAUCCUACACCUUCAUCCUCCACCGCAGGACCUUCGACGCGCUCCCCCCCACCUCCCGAAGAUCACCAUCCUUUGCAGCAUUCGACCACGGCGACCACAUCCACAUCAUCUUCACAGUCAAUCACAGCAACAACUCCUCCCGCCACCUCUCAACCAUCCUUAAAUUCCUUAAAGUCAACAUUGAAGGAAUUACAGAGGCUCAUUCGAGCCUACAACUCAUCCGCUACAUCACCCGAUUCAUUUCAUAUCUUAUACGCAAGGGCCUCGGAAGCUUCUAUAAAUAUGGAAAUAGAAUUAUCCCCAUCCUAAAACCACUUACAGAUGCCCUACUUCACUAUGACGUAACAGACCAACCUACAACAUCCCAUCUUGCAUGCGAACAAUACGUCGAGCAAAAAAAACAAGCAUCCAAAGAGGCCAUAACACAAUGCACAUUCUCCAUCGAUUACAUCAGUUCCCUCAUCACAGAAAACAAAAUAACCUCAUACGAAUCCUUCCAAAGAACACUCCCCACAGAGACCAAGAUCCAGCUCCUAAAACAACUUGGCUAUGUAGGCCAAAAUAUCAUAAAGACCCUAAUCAAGAUUCACACAAUCGAGGCCCUUCAAACCAUUAAAACAAAACACUACUAUCAAUUGAUCAUCGACUCACUCGACCUUUCCUUGGUACAACCAUCCAAUGUUACUUGGUUAACAAGACUAUUUUCAUCUAAUGCAAUCCCAGUUGAAGAAUUUUUUGCCAAAUUCCUAAUCAUCCAUUCAACAAACAUCACAAAAAUUAAUACGUUUGUCGUCCAAGGUCCCACCAACACAGGUAAAUCUCUCAUCCUUAACCUCCUCCUAUCCGAUACAAAACCAACCAGAAUCGCGAGGGAAAGAGACAAAUCAAACUUCCACCUUGACCAACUCCCAAAUAGCACAGCCGUCUUAUUCGAAGAGCCAAUAAUAGAUCAAACUACCAUCGGCACCUGGAAGCUUCUCCUCGAGGGUUCUCCAAUACCCACCGACAUGAAGCACUCCGACAAGGAGAUCAUCAUGAUACUUACGAAGAUUACGGCUCUCCUAGGGUAAGUAACAAUGGCAAAUCAACUUCUUUGGUCCAACCAAACAUCAGACCCAAAACACAAUGGACAUCAUUCACGACACCCCAGAACAAAACAAUCACUCUUCCACCUCGCCGAUACAUUCUCAUCUGCCAAACCAAAACACAAAUCUCCAACGAGCAGAUAGAAGAUCUCAACCUCUAUCUCCAUCACCAUCACCACCCAUCAUCAGCCCCGGAAACACUUCUGAACAUAACCUCUCACUUCCAACUACUUCAUCAUCUACUAAACAAAAACUGUCUAUACAUUUCACUGACCAACAAAUCCAGCAAGAAAACAAGACAAGAACUCCUACUAACGGCGAUACACAUACUUCAAGCAACUCCAAAAACAUUAAUCUAUCAAGAACAGCAGAAAACGAAUAAGAGGAAAUGGCGACUCCACACAACACGACAUUACUGACGAGCCUACUAGAAACAAAACAACAAAGAUCGACACUAACAUCUCCAGUCCCUCUACCUCCACUCAAAGAAACUCAGUUAACACACCUUCUCACACCUAUUCGUCCAACUGCGACAUCAUCCAUAAGACAAACUUCUCAAACACACCCCCCACCAACUUCAAGAGAGCCCCCACAUUUGCCAGCUUUGAUCAUGGAGACCACGUCCACUAUGUCUUCACCGUCUCCCACACAAAUAGCUGUUAACAGAGCGAUCAACAAAAUCCUACAAUUUCUUAAAUCAACCUAUCCAGGAGUUGCAGAAGUUCAUGCGACUACACAACAAGUGCGCUUCCCCUCCCGCUUCUUGGCAUAUCUCAUCCGUAAAGGUCUCUCCGAAUUAUGCAAGAAUGGAACUCGAUCUAUCGACUUCCUCAAAUUAACAAAUUACAUUGCUUCCAAUGACUCCACGGACUCGACUUUCGAGAUUUGCUCUCUUUACAUAGAAGAAAAAAAAAGGCCAUCGCAAAAGAAACAAUAACUCAAAGAACCUUUUCCGUCGAUUUCAUUGCUUCUCAUUGAGACACAUUCAAUCUCUUCUGUCGAAGACUUCCAACGCAAAGUACCCACAGAUACAAAGAUUCAACUUUUGAAACAGAUGGGAUACAUAGGACAAAACAUCAUUAAAUCUCUAAUCAAAAUAUUCAACACACAAUCCCAACAAAACAUCAAAUCCAAACAUUUCUUUCAAAUAUUAAGAGGCAAUUACGACCUCACCAAAACAAAUUCCAAUAACAUAUCUUGGUUCACAACAUUUUUCGAAGAAAACAAUAGUCAACCCAAAGACUUCUCUCAAUUCAUCAUAAUACACUCCACGGCACUACCCAAAAUCAACGCUUUCAUCAUCAAAGGACCAACAAGCACCGGAAAAACACUUCUUCUUUCUCUACUCCUCAUAGAUACACGCCCCACCAGAAUAUCUAGAGAAAAAGUGAGCCGAUCCCUUCGGCUCAUUGCUUGUGGUGUCCUCUCCGAGCGGCGGCCGCGGCCACGGGUCACACCGUUUUUCCUACCUUUCCUACUACCUAUCCUUAGUCCGUGGCGCAUUCUACGUCAUCGCUCCCCUAUCCUUGCUGAUUCGGCUGAAGCACGCGGUCUCUUCUGCCUGGAAAGUCAUCGUGUAUGGACGUCUCGCUCCGUAACUAAAUUCUGUUUGGGUCGGCGCCAUGAAAGAUUCGGUUUGGUAGCUAAACUCCAGGCAGGAGAGCCCAUCUCGAGGUAAUGUACGUAACGCUAGCGUACUGAUUCUUGUUUUUGGAGAAACUGUGUAAGCUGAGAAUGUAUAUAUAGCUUUUGUGUGUAUUGUGUGUGCAGAGAUGGUAUUAUGCUAGCGUGAUGUUUGUUAUUAAGUAUGCCUUAUAUGUCGCUUGUGGCGGAGACAGCCUGUGCGAGUUGUGAUAGGGUACCUUAUGGCUGGUUAUGCCGAUUAAUUGUUCUGUUUUCUUUUUUUUUUUUCACAAAUUACUGGUCAUAUAUUAAAUGUUAAUUGAUUUUCUUGUUUAUUUCUCUUUUUUUCCCCCCUGAGUAAUACGACAUAAGAACAACCCGUCCCCCCAACUAGUGGUGGGGGCUCAAAAGACAAAUCCAACUUCAUCUCGACCAAUUACCAAACAGCACAUCAGUCAUAUAUGAAGAGCCCAUCAUCGACCAAACAACCAUUGGCACUUGGAAACUUCUUCUCGAAGGUUCACCUGUACCAACCGAUAUGAAACAUACCGACAAGGAACUUAUUAACAGACCCCCUAUAUUCAUUUCCACAAAUCAUUACUUAUGGAAUUGGGUUCCAUCAGAAGAAAUUCCACCACUCCAACAAUGCAUCUAUCAGUUUGAAACUUCUGCCACAAUUCAAUCUCCACUUUCCACGUCAUUCACAAUACCACAUCCAACAUCACAAAACAUGACAUCUAUGCUUUCAUCCUUCAUCACACCCAAGAUACAUAUCGUAUAUCAUCUUCAAUGCACUCCAUCAUCUCCACUUUCCCCACAUACAAUUCAAUCAAAAUUCUAUCUCUAUCCUGUGAAAUGGAAAGGAGUCACAUAUAAAUUUGGAACGAACCCGUGAAAUAUAGACAAACAAAAAUUCAUCAAAGGAAAGUUACGGAUUUUUUCCGGAAAAUGAAAGACAAAAAAUUGUAUCAUUAUACUGAUUGCGCAGCUUUCGGACAAUAUAUGAGGUCAAAAGGCAGGUACAGAGACAACUUAAAAGAUCUGGUGGCGGAAUAUUGGGUAGACAACACUCAGAAAUAGAAGAGACCAAAACGAGGUGUCUUCAAUUUCGUGGGUGAAGUUUCAAAAAUCCUAUUGGGAACAUUAACGCAAUCAGAUGCAAAAAAUUACAACAAACACAUGACGGAAUUAGAGAAAGAACAAAAAGAGUUUUUACACUUGUCAAAUGAACAAAUGACAAUUAUAAAAACCACCAUCACCUCAGUAAAUUCAACACUGCAAAAGGUGAAUCAGAAUGAAAAGGUUUUGAAGGAAGGUUUAGACAAACUACUUAACUUCAGUAAACAUAAAAUAAAUGAACUAGAGGAAGAAAUUGAAAACGUAAAUUUAAUCAAUGAGCAAUUUCGUCUGAUACAGAGAGGGGUUGAUGAAAGUCAACACUCAUUUGAGAUAUUAAAUGAUGCCUUUGUUCAUGCAGAACAAGGAACUAUGCAACCACAGCUGAUAACCGCAGAAAAGAUAAAGAACUUUUUGGGAAGCCAAAAACUGCCAAGCGGACUGGACUACCCUAACUUCCCUUUCCCAGAAUUACAGAAGAUAAUAACUCCUAAAACCUAUUCAUAUAAACAAUAUUUGGUUUAUGUAUUGGAAAUUCCUUUAUUUUCACCAACCAUGUAUCAAUUGUAAAAGUGUAAAAGACCAAUCCCUGUCAUGGUGAAACAACAAGAAUCUACCUAUAGUUACAUAAAUUUUAAUAAAGAGUAUAUGUUCAGUUAUGCCUUGAGGCAACAUUUUGGAAAAAUGACAACUAAUGGGUUGUCAGGUUGUUUUCAACCAAAUGAAAUCACUUAUGUAUGUACGGAAGAGAUUCCUAUUUACACGUACAUUACAGAGGUGGACUGUGAAGCAACAUUGCUACACCCAUCAACAACGAGGAUCCCAGACAGUUGUGAAUACAGAUUUUUCAAACAGUAAAACUCUGUGGAUACCUCUACAUUUAAGCAACCAAUGGCUGUUCAUGAAUCCAAAUGUAGAAACCUUUACCAUCUUAUGUCCUCAUGAAACAACGACGGUAAAAAUACAAAACAAAGGUAAAUUAACUUUGAAACCUGAGUGUAAAGAAUACUCAUCUUAUGUAACUUUAUAUGCAAUGUCAACCAUGGUAACAAACUUAACAAAUGAUUAUGUACCUUAUGUUCCUGUAAAUUUUAAUUGUUGCUUCGAAGAUUUGAAAGAUGUAAACUUUGAAGACUUACCUUAGCAUACACCAUUAAUAAAUAUUAUGUCUUCAAUCGACGACUUGAAGAGUCACAGGUAGGCAAACAGAGGAGGUACAACAAAUGAUAAAAGAUCAAGAAAUUAAGCAGAACCAAAGGUUUUACACAGUUGCAACAUCCUGGGGAGCAACAAUAAUUGGUAUAAUUGUUAUAUGCAUUUGUUGCAGUUGUUGUUGUAAAUGCUGCACAAAUGGCUUCUUUUGGAUUUGGGAAAAGUGGACCCUGAGGGAUUGUUCGCAACAAGCUCAAGAUAAAUGCUGUGUCAGUACUUACAAUUACAAUGGUUCUAAAGUAGAGUAUACAAAGACAAAUACCUCUCCCGCCAUAUCCUUGAAAUCAUUACCCGGGAUAGGAGACGCCGUAACUGAGCAACCUAGGAAAAUCCGUGCUGAAAGUUCAGAUAUGGAAGAAUCAGAACCUAUAUCAACGAGAACAAGGAGCAGAAAAAUGUUCCGUCAAAAGAGUAAAAAGGAAAAGUU
Molecule: RNA transcript, 11901 nt
Organism: Cryptotermes secundus
Lineage: Eukaryota; Metazoa; Arthropoda; Insecta; Blattodea; Kalotermitidae
Exons: 3
Source: RefSeq, a predicted model, not a curated record